RNAcentral lists this ribosomal RNA (231 nucleotides) under uncultured bacterium. RNAcentral describes it as "partial 16S ribosomal RNA". It matches the Rfam family "Bacterial small subunit ribosomal RNA", at positions 118 to 347 of the family's 1533-position model. The record is from RNAcentral.
UGGGCAACCUGCCCUCAGCUCUGGGAUAACCCCGGGAAACCGGAGCUAAUACCGGAUACGAGACGAAGCUGCAUGGCUAUCGUCUGGAAAGUUUUCCGGUCUGGGAUGGACUCGCGGCCUAUCAGCUUGUUGGUGAGGUAAUGGCUCACCAAGGCGACGACGGGUAGCCGGCCUGAGAGGGCGACCGGCCACACUGGGACUGAGACACGGCCCAGACUCCUACGGGAGCAG